AGAGUUGAUCAUGGCUCAGGAUGAACGCUAGCUACAGGCUUAACACAUGCAAGUCGAGGGGCAGCAGGACGAUAGCUUGCUAUGUUGCUGGCGACCGGCGCACGGGUGAGUAACGCGUAUCCAACCUUCCCCUUAGUAGGGCAUAGCCCGGUGAAAAUCGGAUUAAUACCCUAUGUUGUGUCAUGAGGAUAUCUGAAUAACACUAAAGAUUUAUCGCUAAGGGAUGGGGAUGCGUCCGAUUAGGUAGUCGGCGGGGUAACGGCCCACCGAGCCCUCGAUCGGUAGGGGUUCUGAGAGGAAGGUCCCCCACACUGGUACUGAGACACGGACCAGACUCCUACGGGAGGCAGCAGUGAGGAAUAUUGGUCAAUGGGCGCGAGCCUGAACCAGCCAAGUAGCGUGCAGGAUGACGGCCCUAUGGGUUGUAAACUGCUUUUAUACGGGGAUAAAGUGAGGGACGUGUCCCUUAUUGUAGGUACCGUAUGAAUAAGGACCGGCUAAUUCCGUGCCAGCAGCUGC
This 519-nucleotide ribosomal RNA is filed under the name uncultured bacterium. RNAcentral's name for it is "bacterial SSU rRNA". It matches the Rfam family "Bacterial small subunit ribosomal RNA", at positions 8 to 518 of the family's 1533-position model. The record is from RNAcentral.